This 253-nucleotide ribosomal RNA is filed under the name uncultured bacterium. RNAcentral describes it as "partial 16S ribosomal RNA". It matches the Rfam family "Bacterial small subunit ribosomal RNA", at positions 524 to 776 of the family's 1533-position model. The record is from RNAcentral.
UACGGAGGGUGCAAGCGUUAUCCGGAUUUACUGGGUUUAAAGGGUGUGUAGGCGGGCUAUUAAGUCAGUGGUGAAAUCUCCGGGCUCAACCCGGAAACUGCCAUUGAUACUAUUAGUCUUGAAUUUUGUUGAGGUAGGCGGAAUAAGUCAUGUAGCGGUGAAAUGCAUAGAUAUGACUUAGAACACCAAUUGCGAAGGCAGCUUACUAAGCAAAUAUUGACGCUGAGGCACGAAAGCGUGGGGAGCGAUCCGG